GAAACUGCAAUGAUAACAAGUAGUAAACGAAUGUCUGGAUUAAGAGACCUUUUGGUUGGUGCGAAAAAGGCGAAGCAUCGUUGAAUUCACUGUUGGAGCAGCAAAAUGGGAAUUAAUUGUUAACGAAAAUUUUGCCGGUUGAUCACCGUUACUGAUUUUAAGUGUGCAGUUAUUUAGGUAGCUGCAAAUUAGGGUGGUACCGCGUGACUUCGUCCCUUUA
This 220-nucleotide non-coding RNA is filed under the name Lentilactobacillus senioris. Its description in RNAcentral is "Lactobacillus senioris T-box sequence". It matches the Rfam family "T-box leader". From Rfam's summary of the family: Uncharged tRNA acts as the effector for transcription antitermination of genes in the T-box leader family. The record is from RNAcentral. Lineage: Bacteria; Bacillati; Bacillota; Bacilli; Lactobacillales; Lactobacillaceae.